GUUUUCUAACUGGAUGGGUUUUUGGUUGGGAUGACGAAUAAAAUAUAAAGAGAAUGAUGGAACAGAGCCAAAAGUUUCUACCUGAAAAUGCACGAUUGUCGAUUUGACAAUCCUUGUGUUGAACUGGAAGUCGUAAAAGGUCUUUCCUUUCUCUACUUGCAAGCACUCCUUGUCAAGCUCUUCACGAGAGCGAGAGAGGUUCUCGUAGUUCCUGUACUGCUUUAAUCUAGUCUCGCGGUAAUUAUCUCUAGUGAAAUUAAGUCUCUCCCAGGGAAUUCCCUGUAUGUCCUUCCCAUUUCUAGCCUCCAAAGCAGAGGUAUCAGUCUUUGGUUUACUCGACUCUGGAUCGUCUUCAAAGUCCGAGUCUAUGGAAUCCAAAUCGGCGUCUCUUCGAGGUUCGUGUUCGAGGAGAGGGUUAUCUUCGAAAUCAACGAUGUCGUAAUAAUCAUCGCCAACGUAUUCGAG
This 465-nucleotide unclassified non-coding RNA is filed under the name Hevea brasiliensis (rubber tree). Lineage: Eukaryota; Viridiplantae; Streptophyta; Magnoliopsida; Malpighiales; Euphorbiaceae. The record is from RNAcentral.